Molecule: ribosomal RNA, 253 nt
Filed under: uncultured bacterium
Lineage: Bacteria
Description: partial 16S ribosomal RNA
Rfam family: Bacterial small subunit ribosomal RNA
Source: RNAcentral
UACGGAGGGUGCGAGCGUUGUCCGGAUUUAUUGGGUUUAAAGGGUGCGUAGGUGGUCUUUUAAGUCUGGUUUGAAAGCUGGUCGCUCAACGAUCAGAUGUGGCUGGAAACUGGGGGACUUGAAUGGAUUGGCGGUAGCUGGAACGGGUCAUGUAGCGGUGAAAUGCAUAGAUAUGACCCAGAACCCCGAUUGCGAAGGCAGGCUACUACGAUUUGAUUGACACUGAGGCACGAGAGCAUGGGGAGCCAACAGG